This 1923-nucleotide ribosomal RNA is filed under the name Teleopsis dalmanni. RNAcentral's name for it is "eukaryotic LSU rRNA". It matches the Rfam family "Eukaryotic large subunit ribosomal RNA", at positions 1590 to 3282 of the family's 3401-position model. The record is from RNAcentral. Lineage: Eukaryota; Metazoa; Arthropoda; Insecta; Diptera; Diopsidae.
ACUUGAUAAAGGGAAUACGGUUCCAAUUCCGUAACCUGUUGAGUAUACGUUUGUUAUUAAAAAUGGGCCUUGUGCUCAUCCUGGCAACAGGAACGACCAUAAAGAAGCCAUCGAGAGAUAUCGGAAGAGUUUUCUUUUCUGUUUUAUAAUCGUAUUACCAUGGAAGUCUUUCGAAGAGAGAUAUGGUAAAUGGAUUAGAAGAGCAUGACAUUUACUGUUGUGUCGAUAUUUUCUCCUUGGACCUUGAAAAUUUAUGGUGGGGUUACGCAAACUUCUCAACAGGCCGUACCGAUAUCCGCAGCUGGUCUCCAAGGUGAAGAGUCUCUAGUCGAUAGAAUAAUGUAGGUAAGGGAAGUCGGCAAAUUAGAUCCGUAACUUCGGGAUAAGGAUUGGCUCUGAAGAUUGAGAUAGUCGGGCUUGAUUGGGAAACAAUAACAUGGUUUAUGUACUCGUUCUGGUUAAUAUAGAGAUUUUCGGAUUUUGUUCACCGGAUAGUAGUUACAUAGCCAAUUGUGGAACUUUCUUGCUAAAAUUUUUCAAAUUAUAAUCUUUACGGAUUAUAUAUUUGUUUAAUUAUAACGAUUAUCAAUUAACAAUCAAUUCAGAACUGGCACGGACUUGGGGAAUCCGACUGUCUAAUUAAAACAAAGCAUUGUGAUGGCCCUAGCGGGUGUUGACACAAUGUGAUUUCUGCCCAGUGCUCUGAAUGUCAAAGUGAAGAAAUUCAAGUAAGCGCGGGUAAACGGCGGGAGUAACUAUGACUCUCUUAAGGUAGCCAAAUGCCUCGUCAUCUAAUUAGUGACGCGCAUGAAUGGAUUAACGAGAUUCCUUCUGUCCCUAUCUACUAUCUAGCGAAACCACAGCCAAGGGAACGGGCUUGGAAUAAUUAGCGGGGAAAGAAGACCCUAUUGAGCUUGACUCUAAUCUGGCAGUGUAAGGAGACAUAAGAGGUGUAGAAUAAGUGGGAGAUAUUUAGAAAUUUAUUUUUAUUUAUCGCCAAUGAAAUACCACUACUCUUAUUGUUUCCUUACUUACUUGAUUAAAUGGAACGUGUAUCAUUGCUUAGCCAUAUUAAGGAUCUAUUUUCAAUAGAUCUUAUGGUAUUGGGUCUUGAUGCAAGCUUCUUGAUCAAAGUAUCACGAGUUUGUUAUAUAAUUGUAAACAAAAUUUAAUGAAGAUAAUUGUAUUCAUACUUUUAUUGUUAAUUAAAAUUUGGUAUAACUCCAACACUCAGGUAUGAUCCAAUUCAAGGACAUAGUCAGGUGGGGAGUUCGACUGGGGCGGUACAUCUCUCAAAUAAUAACGGAGGUGUCCCAAGGCCAGCUCAGUGCGGACAGAAACCACACAUAGAGCAAAAGGGCAAAUGCUGACUUGAUCUCGAUGUUCAGUACACAUAGAGACAGCAAAAGCUCGGCCUAUCGAUCCUUUUGGUUUAAGGAGUUUUUAACAAGAGGUGUCAGAAAAGUUACCAUAGGGAUAACUGGCUUGUGGCGGCCAAGCGUUCAUAGCGACGUCGCUUUUUGAUCCUUCGAUGUCGGCUCUUCCUAUCAUUGUGAAGCAAAAUUCACCAAGCGUUGGAUUGUUCACCCAUUCAAGGGAACGUGAGCUGGGUUUAGACCGUCGUGAGACAGGUUAGUUUUAUCCUACUAAUGACCAAACAUUGUUGCAACAGCAUUCCUGCGUAGUACGAGAGGAACCGCAGGUACGGACCAAUGGCACAAUACUUGUUCGAGCGAACAGUGGUAUGACGCUACGUCCGUUGGAUUAUGCCUGAACGCCUCUAAGGUCGUAUCCGUGCUGGACUGCAAUGAUAAUAAUGGGGCAAUUGUAUUGUAUGGCUUCAAACCAUUCGAAGUUAUUUAUUUCAUAUAUAUAACGACAAUGUUUAAUGAUGCCAAUGUUAAAUAUAACAUAGCAAAUGCA